UUUCCGUAGGUGAACCUGCGGAAGGAUCAUUACUGAGGUACGCUCGGUGUCGCGUCAGCGCGCCGGUUACCCGCCCAUAUGUCAUAUGUGCUGGGGCCCGCCUUAGGGGGGGACCCAGGAAUAUAACUUCGGUCGAGGUGUUGCGUCGGGCACCUGCUUCGGCAGGGCCAGGCGCGACCGCGGCCGGCCUCAUUUUACACUCUUGUGAGAAGAUGAAGUCUGAAGCAAAUGCGAAUUAAAGCAAAACUUUCAACAACGGAUCUCUUGGCUCUGGCAUCGAUGAAGAACGCAGC
RNAcentral lists this unclassified non-coding RNA (293 nucleotides) under uncultured fungus. RNAcentral's name for it is "sequence contains ITS1, 5.8S rRNA gene". The stretch from base 245 to 293 matches the Rfam family "5.8S ribosomal RNA", at positions 1 to 49 of the family's 154-position model. The record is from RNAcentral. Lineage: Eukaryota; Fungi.